AAUGAACGCUGGCGGCAUGCCUUACACAUGCAAGUCGAACGGCAGCAUGACCUAGCUUGCUAGGUUGAUGGCGAGUGGCGAACGGGUGAGUAAUGCAUCGGAACGUGCCUUUUAGUGGGGGAUAACGUAGCGAAAGUUACGCUAAUACCGCAUAUUCUCUGAGGAGGAAAGCAGGGGACCUUCGGGCCUUGCGCUAGAAGAGCGGCCGAUGUCGGAUUAGCUAGUUGGUGAGGUAAAGGCUCACCAAGGCAACGAUCCGUAGCGGGUCUGAGAGGAUGAUCCGCCACACUGGGACUGAGACACGGCCCAGACUCCUACGGGAGGCAGCAGUGGGUAAUUUUGGACAAUGGGCGCAAGCCUGAUCCAGCCAUGCCGCGUGAGUGAAGAAGGCCUUCGGGUUGUAAAGCUCUUUCGGCUGGGAAGAAAUCGCACCCUCUAAUACAGGGUGUGGAUGACGGUACCAGCAUAAGAAGCACCGGCUAACUACGUG
Molecule: ribosomal RNA, 490 nt
Filed under: uncultured bacterium
Lineage: Bacteria
Description: partial 16S ribosomal RNA
Rfam family: Bacterial small subunit ribosomal RNA
Source: RNAcentral